UGAAUACGAGACGCUAAGGCGUCGAAGUAGUGUAUGUCAUACUUCCAAGAAAAGCUUGCACUGUCAUAAGUAAAAAAUGCCUGUACCAUAACCGACACAGGUGGGUAGGUAGAGUAUACUAAGGGGCGCGAGAUAACUCUCUCUAAGGAACUCGGCAAAAUAACUCCGUAACUUCGGGAGAAGGAGUACCUUAUUCUAUAAGGUUGCAAUAACAAGAUCCAAGCAACUGUUUAUCAAAAACACAGGUCUCCGCUAAGUCGUAAGACGAUGUAUGGGGGCUGACGCCUGCCCAGUGCCAGAAGGUUAAAGAAGUCGGUUAGCAUUAGCGAAGCUGGUAACUGAAGCCCUGGUGAACGGCGGCCGUAACGAUAACGGUCCUAAGGUAGCGAAAUUCCUUGUCGGGUAAGUUCCGACCCGCACGAAAGGCGUAAUGAUUUGGAUACUGUCUCGGAGAGGGGCUCGGUGAAAUAGACUUGUCUGUGAAGAUGCGGACUACCUGCACCAGGACAGAAAGACCCUAUGAAGCUCUACUGUAACUUGAAAUUGAAAUUGGACUUUAUUCGCGCAGUAUAGGUGGGAGGUGUUGAUUAUAAUCUUGCGGGAUUAUUGGAGCCAUCAGUGAGAUACCACUCUUGUAAUGUUAGAUUUCUAACUUUGAAUCAUUAUCUGGUCAAAGGACAGUUUCAGGCGGGCAGUUUGACUGGGGCGGUCGCCUCCCAAACGGUAACGGAGGCGUACAAAGGUUUCCUCUGAACGGGUAGAAAUCGUAUCUAGAGUGUAAAGGCAUAAGGAAGCUUGACUGUGAGACCUACAAGUCGAACAGGGACGAAAGUCGGUCUUAGUGAUCUGACGGUACUGAGUGGAAAGGCCGUCACUCAACGGAUAAAAGUUACUCUAGGAUAACAGGCUGAUCUCCCCCAAGAGUUCACAUCGACGGGGAGGUUUGGCACCUCGAUGUCGGCUCAUCGCAUCCUGGGGCGGUAGUACGUCCCAAGGGUUGGGCUGUUCGCCCAUGAAAGCGGUACGCGAGCUGGGUUCAGAACGUCGUGAGACAGUUCGGUCCAUAUCCGGUGUAGGCGUUAGAAUAUUGAGAGGAGCCUUCUUUAGUACGAGAGGACCGAGAAGGACAUACCUCUGGUGUACCAGUUAUCGUGCCAACGGUAAACGCUGGGUAGCUAUGUAUGGAGUGGAUAACCGCUGAAAGCAUCUAAGUGGGAAGCCCACCUCAAGAUAAGUAUUCUCA
Molecule: ribosomal RNA, 1243 nt
Filed under: metagenome
Description: bacterial LSU rRNA
Rfam family: Bacterial large subunit ribosomal RNA
Source: RNAcentral